GCUAUUAUUAACCUAGGUUAGACAGAGAUCACGAGCCCAUGGUUUUGCGUAAACCCCCAAGCACCAUUUCUUUGCCUAGGCUAGAGAGAGAUCACUAGCCCAUGGUUUUGCGUAAACCCCCAGAGAGAGAUCACAAGCCCAUGGUUUUGCGUAAACCGCCAAGCGCCACUUCUCCGAUUGACAAUCAGCCAUCAAUACUUUGCCAUCAAUACUUUCUACAGUACUCCAUAUCAAUACUUUGGACACUUCGUCAUUCAUGGAAAAGUAAAGUUUACGACAGAAUUCUCAGAGAGAUUUUAAAGAGAGAGAGAGCUUGCUGCGAUGAAAAAAAAAAAAAAGUACUCUUUAGAUAACUAAAAUAAUAUCGGUUAGGAUUUCGAUAGUAACAACAUGAUUUAUA
RNAcentral lists this long non-coding RNA (400 nucleotides) under Amborella trichopoda. Its description in RNAcentral is "long non-coding RNA (ATRI_LNC005404)". Lineage: Eukaryota; Viridiplantae; Streptophyta; Magnoliopsida; Amborellales; Amborellaceae. The record is from RNAcentral.